Molecule: non-coding RNA, 75 nt
Organism: Podarcis lilfordi (Lilford's wall lizard)
Lineage: Eukaryota; Metazoa; Chordata; Lepidosauria; Squamata; Lacertidae
Source: the annotation of a GenBank genome assembly
GCUUAGUGCCUUCUUCAGUCAGUAGAACAUGAGACUCAUAAUCUCAAGGCUGUGGGUUCAGGCCCACAUUGGGCA